This 609-nucleotide ribosomal RNA is filed under the name Cheyletus carnifex. Its description in RNAcentral is "SSU rRNA". It matches the Rfam family "Eukaryotic small subunit ribosomal RNA", at positions 416 to 1025 of the family's 1831-position model. Lineage: Eukaryota; Metazoa; Arthropoda; Arachnida; Trombidiformes; Cheyletidae. The record is from RNAcentral.
CCAAGGAAGGCAGCAGGCACGCAAAUUACCCAAUGCCAGUUCGGCGAGGUAGUGACGAAAAAUAACAAUACGGGACUCUAAAGAGGCCUCGUAAUUGGAAUGAGUACAAUAUAAAUCCUUUAACGAGGAUCCAUUGUAGGGCAAGUCUGGUGCCAGCAGCCGCGGUAAUUCCAGCUACAAUAGCGUAUAUUAAAGUUGCUGCGGUUAAAAAGCUCGUAGUUGUACUUUAGUUCAUGAAGAGCGGUGCGCCUGACUGGCGUCUCUGCUCUCUCACUGAACAUACGCUCAAUUGACCGGAGAUCCUCUUCACCGAGUGUCUCCGGCGAAUGAUAUCUUUUACUUUGUCGAAAUUUGAGUGCUUAAAGCAGGCUGAAUGCCUAUAAAAUCUUACAUGGAAUAAUGGAAAAGGACCUCGGUUCAAUUCUGUUGGUCUUUCGAACCUUUGGUAAUGAUUAAAAGGGACAGACGGUGACAUUCGUAUUGCGGCGCUAGAGGUGAAAUUCUUGGACCGUCGCAAGACGAACGACAGCGAAAGCAUUUGUCAAGAAUGUUUUCAUUAAUCAAGAACGAAAGUUAGAGGUUCGAAGGCGAUCAGAUACCGCCCUAGUU